CGCGUAGGAAUCUACCCAGUAGUGGGGACGAACAGUCGGAAACGGCUGCUAAUACCGCAUACGCCCUAACGGGGGAAACGGGGAGUCUUCGGACCUCGCGCUAUUGGAUGAGCCUGCGUCGGAUUAGCUAGUUGGUAGGGUAAGAGCCUACCAAGGCGACGAUCCGUAGCUGGUCUGAGAGGACGAUCAGCCACACUGGGACUGAGACACGGCCCAGACUCCUACGGGAGGCAGCAGUGGGGAAUAUUGCGCAAUGGGCGAAAGCCUGACGCAGCCAUGCCGCGUGUGUGAAGAAGGCCC
Molecule: ribosomal RNA, 300 nt
Filed under: uncultured Alteromonadales bacterium
Lineage: Bacteria; Pseudomonadati; Pseudomonadota; Gammaproteobacteria; Alteromonadales
Description: bacterial SSU rRNA
Rfam family: Bacterial small subunit ribosomal RNA
Source: RNAcentral